CUCUCUUAAUCCAACCACACACUUGAUUCUUCCCUUUCUUAAUCCCCGGCGCACCAACAUUAAUUUCAUUCUAGCAAUGUUGUCGUUUUCAACCAAAAAGUUUCAGAGGUACUAUGCUUCUUCUAUCCCUCUUUUUCAACUUCCAAACCCUAAUUUCAUUCGUUCUUCAACAAUGUUAUACUCUCAAUUACACAACCAACAAGAAGAUCAUGAUAAUCUUGUUUCUUCAUUCAAUCAAUUACUACUUCAGAAUCCAACUCCACCCAUCUUCCAUUUUGGUAAGAUUUUAGGUUCUCUUGUUAAGUCCAAUCAUUACUACACUGUUGUUUCACUUCAUCGUCAGAUGGAACUAAAUGGAAUUGCUUCAAAUUUAGUCACUUUCAACAUCUUGAUCAAUUGUUUUUCUCAAUUGGGUCUAAACUCUCUUUCCUUUUCUGUAUUUGCCAACAUUCUCAAAAAGGGUUAUGACCCAAAUGCCAUAACUUUGAAUACACUCAUCAAGGGUCUUUGUCUCAAAGGUCAGAUCCAUAGAGCAUUGAACUUUCAUGACAACGUGGUAGCACAGGGAUUUCAGUUGAACCAAGUUAGUUACGGGACCUUAAUCAAUGGGUUAUGUAAAGUAGGAGAAACAAGUGCAGCCUUGCAGUUGCUGAGACGAGUUGAUGGGAAACUGGUUCGACCUGAUGUGGUAAUGUACACUGCAAUUAUUGACAGUAUGUGUAAAGAUAAACUUGUUGCCGAUGCUUUUGAUUUAUAUUCUGAAAUGGUUACUAAGAGAAUUUCUCCUGAUGUUUUCACUUACACCGCUUUAAUUAGUGGCUUUUGCAUUGUCGGUAAAUUGAAAGAAGCAAUUGGGCUUUUUAAUAAAAUGGUUUUGGAGAACAUCAACCCGAAUGCGUAUACGUUUAAUAUAUUGGUUGAUGCAUUUUGUAAGGAAGGAAAAGUGAAAGAAGCUAAUAAUGUGUUUGCUAUGAUGAUCAGAAAAGGUGUUAAACCUAAUGUUGUUACUUAUAACUCUUUAAUGGAUGGAUAUUGCUUAGUUAAAGAAAUGAAAAAGGCCAAGAGUAUAUUCAAUAUCAUGGCCCAAAGUGGAGUGACUCCUGAAGUUCGGAGCUAUAGUAUUAUGAUUAAUGGAUUUUGUAAGGUUAAAAUGGUGGAUGAAGCCUUAAUUCUCUUCAAAGAAAUGCGUUGUAGAAACAUUAUUCCUGAUGUGAUAGCUUACAGUUCCCUUAUUGAUGGUUUGGGCAAAUCAGGGAGAAUCUCUCAUGCUUUGAAGCUUGUUGAUGAGAUGCAUGAUAGAGGUCAACCACCUAAUAUAGUUACCUACAAUUCUAUAUUUGAUGCUUUAUGCAAAACCCAUCAUGUUGAAAAGGCGAUUGCAUUAUUAACAAAAGUUAAGGACGAGGGCAUUCAACCAAAUAUGAACACAUAUACUAUUCUUAUUCACGGAUUGUGUAAAGUUGGAAGAGUAGAGGACGCGAGAAAUGUUUUUGUAGAUCUUUCAGUCAAAGGCUACAAUCUAAGUGUUUAUACAUAUACUGUUAUGAUCCAAGGGUUUUGCAUCAAGGGCUUGUUUGAUGAAGCGUUGGCCUUGCUAUCAAAAAUGAAAGACAAUAGUUGCCUUCCAGACGCUGCAACUUAUGAAAUAAUUAUCCGUUCUCUGUUUAAUAAAGGUGAAAAUGAUAUGGCAGAGAAACUUCUACGUGAAAUUAUCGCAAAAGGUCUAUUGUAAGAUUGAAACUAGGUAAGAUGGUUAUUUUGUUAUUGUUAUUUCUUUUGUUAAGUGUGUUCAUACUUCAAAGAUUGGGAUAUUGGUGAGUUUGAAAUUUGUGGGGAAGUGAAUGAAUAUAUUUGUUACGGUUGUCUUGGAAAUAUUGUUGGGUUAGGAGUUUACAAAUUGUACUACACUUGCUCCAGCCAAGUAAUAAAGUCAAUUAUUGUCAAUUAAAGUGUUUCUUUAGACUGUGGAGUUGUACACACAACAAGCACAAGCAUGACACUUAUAUUGCUGUCCCCGUUAGAGAUGGUUUUAUAUCAGGAAUUAAUAAUGGAAUUACGGAGAAACUUCUCGCUACUAUAGAAAGUGAAUUGGGACAGUGCUGGUUUAAGUGAAACUUUGACUUUGUGAUUUCUCAAGUAAGUUAUCAAUAUUUUUUGCCACCUGCUUUGUGUUUUCGACCUUUUGCAUGGUAACUGUAUUGAUCACUUGUCCUUUAUAGCAAUUAGUUUACUGACCCAAAGUUAUAUGGUAUUUUGGUUAACUGUGCGAAUUAAAAUCUUUGCAUUGUAUGUAGUUUUUAUAAACUAAUUAUUCUGGUGUUUAUCGGCGUCAAUUUAAUUUACAUCCAGAUAAUGUCUGAACUUAAAAUCCAAUCUAUGUGGACUGGAAUUUGGCAUCUGUUACAAAUCGUUCUUAAUGUUUGUUGAAUCUGAAUCUCAAUAUUUGUUGGAUCCACGAGUCGCUAAAUUUCUUUUUUCUUUGUAAUACUUGUACUUCUAGAACAUGUAUUCCAGGGCCCUUCUCCUUCAUAUACAGCCGUGUCAUUCUGAGAUGAAUGCUGAUUUUGCACCCUCAUGCAUAAAAUUCAUGUCAUGAUUGCACACAUGAACUGCGACGAGAUUGGGGACAAAGUGCAAGUACGAUGUGCCGCCAAGACUUCAGUGUGCCGCCAAGAUCUCUUUUCUAUAACCCAAAUCUUCCACCAACAUAAACAUUAAACGAAUGAAUCCUAAAUAAUAGAGAGAGGGAACAUUUCUCUCUGUACAUAGGUUCAGUGUUAUCCUUAACUCAUUCAUUCUACACAAUGUUGUCGUUUUCAACCAAACAGCUUCAGAGGUACUAUGCUUCUUCUCUCCCUCUUUUUCAACUUCCAAACCCUAAUUUCAUUUCUUCUUACAAGUAUUUCACUUGAGAAACUGACAGCAUACAUUAUGAAUGGCACUAAAAAGCUAAGAAAAUAUGUUUCUGCCACUCAAAUUUUAGGACACAUUGCAGUUACUUCGGUGUUUCUUCUCAUUGAACUUAAAAUCCAAUCUAUGUGGACUGGAAUUUGGCAUCUGUUACAAAGCGUUCUUAAUGUUUGUUGAAUCUGAAUCUCAAUAUUUGUUGGAUCCUUGAGUCGCUAAAUUUCUUUUUUCUUUGUAAUACUUGUACUUCUGCAUAAUAAUAAUUUUAAUCUUACAAAACUUAACUAUUUUCGAAUGAUAAACGGAUUUAAUAUCCAAAGACUUGAAUUGUACACAACAGGUACAAGCUUGGGAGCGCAGCUAUGCUCUAGUUUUAAUAGCUCCUCUUAAUCCUGUUAAAUGUAUAGAUGGCUGACAUGUGGCAAAAUUAAUUUUAAUGGCCGAGAUUAAAAGCUUGUAAUUAAGCAUAGAAAGGGUAACGACGAUUUCAUAAAAGAGGAACGCCGCGGUUCUUCUUCUUCUUUUAGUUGUUCCGUUCAAUCUUCACCUCACCACCUUCCUCUCACCGUUGCCGCCAGUCUCCGUUCCAUUAGAUAACAGUAAAACGCAGUAGUGAGUACUUUUCUAUGAGGAAUCAAUUUUGACCUUGAUUUUUUAACUCUUUGUCAAAAAUUAGAAAUCCACUAAAACUAACUAUACUUGUUACAUAUUCAUAAUCGAUUAUUAAUUUAUUGUAGCCUUCAUGUGAUGUUAAAGUGAGCUGAGGAAGUGAGCAAAGUGGAUUGGUUUGUCAUGCGAUUUAGAGACGAUGGCGAGAUUCGGUCCGUUCAUGACAGCGGUUUCGAGGUGAUGUGUGGAAUGGAGGAAGGACGCUGUCUAUGUGACAGCCGAAGUGGUGGGGUGGUGGGCGGCGGCGGCAAGAGGAAGAGACGGUUAGUAGAAGAUGGAACAACGACUACAAGAAGAAGAAGAUGACGCACGAGUGUUCCUUUGUCUGCGUUUCUUACUUCUUCUGUUAUAAGACUUAAUAUAAGCUUUUAAUCUCAGCCAUUAAAAUUAAUUUUGCCACAUGUCAGCCAUCUAUACACUUAACAGGAAUAAAAGGAGCUAUUAAAACUGGAGCAUAGCUGCGCUCCAAGCUUGGAUCUAUAUAAUUACUGAUUUUGCAUUUUUGGAUGAGUAUUUAUCUUUAAUUUUGGUUUAUAUUAUUUAUGGAACAUGUAUUUAUUGUACAAGCUUAGAUGUAUCCUAUUCUAGAACAUGUAUUCCAGGGCCCUUCUGCUUCAUAUACAGCCGUGUCAUUCUGAGAUGAAUGCUGAUUUUGCACCCUCAUGCAUAAAAUUCAUGUCAUGGUUGCACACAUUAACUACGACGAGAUUGGGGACAAAGUGCAAGUACGAUGUGCCGCCAAGACUUCUGUGUGCAACAAACCUGCGGUCAAGACCUUCAUCUUGUUGAACCUGAGUGUGACGAAAGUACUGUGGUCUGAAAUCUGAGUUGUGAGUUUGAUAUUUGAUUCUGUGUUCUUCCAUUUAUUCAACUGACUUCUUGAAGUUGUUGAUAUUACGAGUUUGUUAUUCUUGAUGUGAUUUCGUGAUCUGAGUAUGAUGUUCUGAAAAGACAAUAUGAAACUAUCAACUUUGAUAAUACAAAAGUUUGUACUGCA
Trifolium pratense (red clover) is the source of this 4573-nucleotide RNA transcript. It is a transcript of the gene named putative pentatricopeptide repeat-containing protein At1g12700, mitochondrial, with no coding region annotated. The record is from RefSeq and is a predicted model, not a curated record. The transcript is spliced from 2 exons. NCBI's taxonomy places the organism in Eukaryota, Viridiplantae, Streptophyta, Magnoliopsida, Fabales, Fabaceae.